CCAAGCACUUCUUGCACUGUGCCAGACUUGGUGCUGUGACCACUUCCCUGGGGAGCCUGUUCCAGUGCCCAAACACCCUCUGGGUGAAGAACCUUUUCCUGAUACCCAAACUAAACCCGCUCUGACACAGCUUCAGGCCAUUCCCUCGGGUCCUGUCCCCGGCACACAAGAAAAUCCUGAGGGGAACCCAGGUACCAUCAGACCAGCAACGCACAGUACUGACAAUUUUGUCCCCCCGUUACCUUCUAUUUGGACUGCAGCUGCUGGACCCUGGACCUGGGCCUUGCAUCCUGUCUUCCAGAGCAGCUUUCCUAUCCUGCCUCUGUACUUGGAUGUAGUUGGUACAAAUGAGUGAUAUAUUUAGAAGGAUUCACCUAAGAGCCUGCUGAUGAGUUUCCCUGGCAUCCUCACAUCUCCAUGAUGUCAAGAUGAGCUGGCUCAACUGGCUUAGGCCUGGACAUUUAAGUAGGAGUCGCCAGCAGUUCCCAGUCUAAAUGACUCCAUGAAAUAAUUUUUCAACUUGCACACUUUUUGCUUUUUCUGCAAAGAGACAUGGAUCAGCCAAACAUCUUUGUCAUUUCAAAUUAUUCAGCAUCAGAGACUUUACAGAACAAAUAUGUUGUAAAUUUGCUUGGAAACUCAGCAACCAUCAUUUUAACUACUGAUUUCUUUGCUUCCAUUUCCUGCGGCAGUUGUGUGGUUGCAGGAAUAUAAUUUUUACUGCUGGGUUCCUGAGAGCUGUGAAGAAGUGUUUAAGGAUUCUGAGACUCUCAAUCUCUUCUACUGGUACAGAACACUUAUCAUAUAACAGGAAGAAUAAAAGUGAGCUCAUAAAAUGCUAA
Molecule: long non-coding RNA, 842 nt
Organism: Corvus hawaiiensis (hawaiian crow)
Lineage: Eukaryota; Metazoa; Chordata; Aves; Passeriformes; Corvidae
Exons: 4
Source: RefSeq, a predicted model, not a curated record